UACGGAGGGCGCAAGCGUUGUUCGGACUCACUGGGCGUAAAGCGCGUGUAGGCGGCCUGGUAAGUCGGGUGUGAAAUCCUGGGGCUCAACUCCGGAACUGCACUGGAAACUGCUCUGCUUGAGGCCGGGAGAGGGGCGUGGAAUUCCCGGUGGAGAGGUGAAAUUCGUAGAUAUCAAGAGGAACACCAGUGGCGAAGGCGGGCCCCUGGACGGUAACUGACGCUGAGACGCGAAAGCGUGGGGAGCAAACAGG
This 253-nucleotide ribosomal RNA is filed under the name uncultured bacterium. RNAcentral describes it as "partial 16S ribosomal RNA". It matches the Rfam family "Bacterial small subunit ribosomal RNA", at positions 524 to 776 of the family's 1533-position model. The record is from RNAcentral.